GGGGGCGUAAAGGUUUCGACGGGGGUUUUGAAGUCGGAUAAGCAGGCCGUGGCGCGGGACCACGAUAAAACUCGCAGUUUAUUAAUUUAAACGCCAACAAUAAUUACGCUUUAGCAGCCUAGUUUAGGCUGCUCGUCCCGCCCGGGAGCACCACGGCCCGGGGCCGGGGCGUCGAUUAGUGGUGAACGUGAGUCGGUUAAGCUUUGCUCCGGCCAUGAACAAUGAAGCUACCAAACCGUGAAGUCGGCCGCAUGACGGCACGGCAAGGGAAAGUAAAGACGCGGCUAAGCCUGUAGAAAGUCCCCCGGAUGGGCUCUCGGACGCGGGUUCAAUUCCCGCCGCCUCCACCA
This 350-nucleotide transfer-messenger RNA is filed under the name bioreactor metagenome. RNAcentral's name for it is "transfer-messenger RNA, SsrA". It matches the Rfam family "transfer-messenger RNA". From Rfam's summary of the family: Bacterial tmRNA, also known as 10Sa RNA or SsrA, is named for its dual tRNA and mRNA-like properties. Its role is to liberate the mRNA from a stalled ribosome. The record is from RNAcentral.